CAACAGUCAUGGUCGAUCAUUACCAACUCAGCAAAAUUAAAUUGUUUAUCAUGUGCUAUUAGUAGCUAUUAGUAGCUUUAUGUUAUGUAGCUUUGGUAUCUCCACCGAGGCAUCAGCACCUGCGGUGCUUUCAUUGUAUCUAGAAUUUGUAGUACUAAGAACCCUUCAUCAUCUUUCUUUGUGUGUACAGAGUAUUGCUGGAUCACAGAUGCGUGUGAUUCUCAGGUGGUGGAGCAGUCAACCAAACGUACGUGUCACAAGAAACAGUCUGAUGUUGGGUUUCCACCAUGGCAGAGCCAGACACCACACUCGUUACAUCUGUCAGUCCUCUUGUUGGAGUCCUUCCAGCAGAACGCACACCAUCCCCGUUUACAUCUCUUUGCAGGUGGUUGCAGGCACAUUUUGAGAGGGAGCUGAAGAGGGCGCUGGACUCUACUUGAGCGGCCUGGGAGUCUCCUUGAAUAGUACGUACCAAUCAGCUCCUUGGCCAGUUGGAGGCGGAAGUCUUUUACGUUUUGAUUCGGCUUGGAGGUAUAAUUAGUGAGUGUGUAAAAUAUGAUAGAAACAUCAAAUAGGAAAUAAAAUAUAUACUUGUAGAACUUCCGAUUUCUUGUUUGACAGGAAUAAUAUCCGCGUAUAUGGUCCCCUCUGUCCACGCCUUCCAUGUGCUUGUUGUAGAUUAUUAUGCUAUCAGGGCAACUCACAGGCAUUCUUAAACCGUCUCUCUGACGCCUGAGAACGAAUCCUGUUGCUACUGGUUGCGACGUCGUUCAGAGGAUCGUGAGCACCUUGCUGUCGUGCCAUGCACAUGCCACCAGUGGUCCCUUCUGGAAUAUCUUGGAUUCUCCUCUGUCAAAGUACCUCUUCUUCACCCCAUGUUUCUUCAGUCCUGGUGGUAAACCUUUCCUAUCCCUCCGAACUACACCACACCCAUAAAUACCAUCUUUCUCCAUAUCUUCAAGAAGUUUGGGGCUCGUAAAAAAGUUGUCAAAGAAAACGUGGUGGUUUUUCUUCUUCAGCCCGUCGGGUUGUACAAAGCUUCGAACCUCUCACCCAGGUGCUCAAUGAGGGGGCGGAUCUUCCCUAACCGAUCGUACGAGGGAUCAUCUCGUGAAACAAGAUGAGGAUGGAGAAUCCGAAGAAGGCCCGGAGCUCUUCAACUACCAUUGUUAAAAAAUAGCAGAAACACUUCUUCUGGCCUCUCUGAGAUGUCCACUGUUGGUCCUACUGUUGACUCAAAUGACUUGAUAGUCAGGGUGUGCAAUUCACUCCUCCAGGUAGGUUGCUCAUUGCCUAAAUAAAUGUGAGGGUAAUAAUAAUUACCUGUACAAUAGUUUUGUGUGGUAGUCUAACUGAUUGUAAUUGUACUUCAUAACAUUGCACAAACCGUGUGACGAGUUGCUUGGACCACUUGUGUUGUCGUCACUUGUGUCGUCACUUGUGUCGUCUAGGAAAGGAUUUAUCAAUAGCUGGUACAAAUUGUUAACCUUAUAAUUAUUAUUGUUAAAAAUAAUUAACAAUAAUAGGGAAUUUCCCCUCACGUAGACAGUAAAUUUCAAAAUGAGCGUUCGGUGAGUUUCUUCAACGUCCGCGCUUGACCUGUUUAAAGCUUCGUAGAGACCCAAAUUUUUACAGGUAGGUAGAGGAAGGGUUGAAGUUAGCACCUGUGAAAAAAAAAUUUUUGCCCAUGUUUUUUAUUUCUACUAAAUUGGCCUAUAGCUUAAUUUAAUUAUUGCCGCGUUAAGGUCCCUUUUCAUUGGCACUGUCGCAAUUUAAUUUACCUUGUGCAGGAUUGCUGUCUGUUGACGGGGGCUCCAUUUCUACAUGUUCCUCAUCAUUCAAGAUGUCUUGUAGAACCUCCUCCGUGGUCCAGUGUGGCCUCUUGGCCAUGCCUGCAGCUCUAUAUUAUUAUUAAAAAAUGUUUGUUCAUGUUAUAAAUAUUUUGUGUUUUUUGGGUGGUAUAAAAACAACAGUAGUAUUCAAGUGUCUGUAUCAAAAAAAUUUCUGUAUGAUAUAAGCUUAUAUGGGUACCUAGCCUCAAUUCAAGGCCGCUUUAGAAGAGGGGACUUGAGUCUAGGCUAAUGGGUACCUUGAGGGUGGAUGGAAUUAGAAGGCGUCCUAGCUUCAGUCCAGUAGCAGCCCCACCCAGAUUCUUUAGCAGCCAAGAGAAGCAGGACUGCUGCAGCUGACACCUAUUGGUAGAGAUGUCAGACUGAAAGUAGUGAGUGGGAGUAUUUUCGUACAGUAAAAUCAAUGGUAAGAAACGGGACCAGAAAGUGAGUGAACAAGAAGGGCUUUCCACAGCAAGCCCUGGAAGAGUCUAGCAAACAACAGCUGUUCCCAGGGGUAAAAAAUAGUGUAGAAUUUAAUUUUUAGAACAGUUUUUUAUGAUUUUAGCAUUUGGAGUUUGUUUUGUGUGUGAUUUUUUCUCAAAGGUGAUCAUCAUUUUGGCAACCACAUAUUGUGCAAGGAAACUACUGGUGGUGGUCCUUCUGUGGAUGAUUUGAUUGGUUGUUGUGGUUGCGAAAUUUUGUUGCAUAGUCUGGUUUGGUGAUGUGUGAUUUGAUUAUAAUGAUUUGUCUGGUCAGAAGUGCAUUCACUCCUGGUCUGGUAUUAUGAUGAUAAUAAUGAUCUGAAUUAAUUGGUGGUCUUCGCUGUUGAAUUGAUUUGUUGUUGUGGGAAUUUCUCAUCUCUUCUCUGGACAGCACAAACAGCUAUGGGUGUAAU
Long non-coding RNA from Halichondria panicea, 2727 nucleotides. RefSeq lists it as uncharacterized. The record is from RefSeq and is a predicted model, not a curated record. The transcript is spliced from 6 exons. Lineage: Eukaryota; Metazoa; Porifera; Demospongiae; Suberitida; Halichondriidae.